GUGCUUGCUUUGAUAACACAUAUACUAAAAUUGAAAAUGAUGAAGAGAAAAUCAGCAUGGCACCUGAACAAGGAUAAUAUGCAAAUUUGUGAAGUAUUCCAUAUUUAA
Molecule: small nuclear RNA, 108 nt
Organism: Procavia capensis (Cape rock hyrax)
Lineage: Eukaryota; Metazoa; Chordata; Mammalia; Hyracoidea; Procaviidae
Source: Ensembl